This 245-nucleotide ribosomal RNA is filed under the name uncultured bacterium. RNAcentral describes it as "partial 16S ribosomal RNA". It matches the Rfam family "Bacterial small subunit ribosomal RNA", at positions 88 to 334 of the family's 1533-position model. The record is from RNAcentral.
AUGGCGACCGGCGCACGGGUGAGUAACACGUAUCCAACCUGCUGAUAACUCGGGGAUAGCCUUUCGAAAGAAAGAUUAAUACCCGAUGGUAUAAUCAGACCGCAUGGUUUGAUUAUUAAAGAAUUUCGGUUAUCGAUGGGGAUGCGUUCCAUUAGGCAGUUGGUGAGGUAACGGCUCACCAAACCUUCGAUGGAUAGGGGUUCUGAGAGGAAGGUCCCCCACAUUGGAACUGAGACACGGUCCAA